Pan troglodytes (chimpanzee) is the source of this 3498-nucleotide RNA transcript. It is a transcript of the gene named terminal nucleotidyltransferase 2, with no coding region annotated. The record is from RefSeq and is a predicted model, not a curated record. NCBI's taxonomy places the organism in Eukaryota, Metazoa, Chordata, Mammalia, Primates, Hominidae. The transcript is spliced from 17 exons.
GCUGCCUAUUCUCAUCCGGGGUCACGUCGGUCUUCCGGGUGUCUUUGACAGGGUUUUCUACGCCGCUUUUUCGGCGACUUUUUGCUCUUCCGCUUUUUGCCACCGCCCCCAACCUUCUAUAUCCUUGCAGCCCCUACCUUUUCUUGUGUUGCUCCUCCCCUGGCAGCCUUGCGGGGGGUUAGAUCUCAGCCGGAGCCGGAGCUGGGCCUAGCUGUCCCACGGGCCACCACUACCUCCUUUGGUUCGGGAGAAAGCUACGACCAAGUACGCCCAGCUCGGGCCUUAGAACUUCUGAACGGGCAGUGCGGGUAGGCCCUGCUUAGCCCUUCCCGGAGGACACCUGACCAAAAGAGGAAGAUAGUCUUGGGACCCUUGCAUGGUGUUUCAAAGGGUGGUGAAGAACUAAGGUAGAAGAAUACAUGUUCACUUCCAGUGAACAAGAGCAUGUUCCCAAACUCAAUUUUGGGUCGCCCACCCUUCACUCCAAAUCAUCAACAACAUAAUAACUUCUUUACCCUGUCACCUACUGUUUAUUCACACCAGCAGCUUAUAGAUGCACAAUUCAACUUUCAGAAUGCAGACUUGUCUAGAGCUGUGUCAUUACAGCAGCUGACAUAUGGAAAUGUCAGUCCAAUACAGACCUCAGCUUCCCCAUUAUUUCGAGGAAGGAAGAGAUUAAGCGAUGAAAAAAACCUUCCUCUUGACGGUAAACGGCAACGUUUCCAUUCACCCCACCAAGAGCCAACUGUAGUUAACCAGAUAGUGCCUUUAUCAGGUGAACGAAGAUACUCAAUGCCACCAUUGUUUCAUACACAUUAUGUACCAGAUAUAGUCAGAUGUGUUCCACCUUUUCGAGAAAUUGCAUUUUUAGAACCUAGAGAAAUCACACUGCCUGAGGCCAAAGAUAAGUUGAGUCAGCAGAUACUGGAGUUAUUUGAAACAUGUCAGCAGCAAAUAAGUGAUUUAAAGAAGAAAGAACUGUGUCGAACACAGCUGCAGAGAGAAAUUCAGCUGUUAUUUCCACAAAGCAGACUUUUUUUGGUUGGGUCCUCUUUAAAUGGAUUUGGUACCCGGAGCAGUGAUGGUGAUUUAUGCCUAGUUGUUAAGGAAGAACCAUGUUUUUUUCAGGUAAAUCAGAAGACUGAAGCACGGCAUAUACUCACCUUAGUCCAUAAACACUUCUGUACUAGACUUUGUAAGUCUGACAUGCCUCAAGUUUGUAUGUCACCUGACGUAACUUUACUUAAAAUGCCUCUUACAUUAUCUUCUGCGGGCUACAUUGAGAGACCUCAGCUGAUUCGAGCAAAAGUGCCAAUUGUGAAGUUCAGGGAUAAAGUCAGUUGUGUGGAGUUUGACUUGAAUGUAAACAAUAUUGUUGGAAUAAGAAACACAUUCCUUCUCAGAACUUAUGCAUACCUUGAAAAUCGAGUUCGUCCGUUAGUGCUGGUGAUUAAGAAGUGGGCAAGUCACCAUCAGAUAAAUGAUGCCAGUCGUGGUACUUUAAGCAGCUAUAGUCUUGUAUUGAUGGUUUUGCACUAUUUACAAACCCUACCUGAACCCAUCCUUCCAUCCCUCCAAAAAAUUUACCCAGUCCUUCAAGAGGUAUUCCAGAAGAAGACAUUGUUAUAUGAAAUGACAGCUCCAUGCAUGAUAUUGUCCCCAAAGAUCUUCCAGUGGGACAUGAUGUGGAGGUGGAAGACAGUGAUAGUGAUGAUCCCGAUACUGUGUGGGCCUAAGCUGAUGUGAGUCUUUUAGUCCUGCUAUACAGCUGCACCUUGUACAUCAAGCUCCAAGUAAUGUUCCUCCUUACCUCUCAAAGAAUGAAUCAAACCUUGGGGACCUCUUACUGGGCUUUCUUAAAUAUUAUGCUACAGAAUUUGACUGGAAUAGUCAAAUGAUUUCAGUUCGUGAAGCCAAAGCCAUUCCAAGGCCUGAUGGUAUUGAAUGGAGAAAUAAAUACAUCUGUGUAGAAGAACCUUUUGAUGGAACAAAUACAGCCAGAGCAGUGCACGAAAAGCAGAAAUUUGAUAUGAUCAAGGAUCAAUUUUUAAAGUCAUGGCACAGAUUGAAAAACAAGAGAGAUUUGAACAGUAUACUACCUGUAAGAGCUGCUGUCCUGAAAAGAUAACUGGCCUCUAUUUCUUAAUAAAUUCUUCCAAGAAAUAAAGAACAAUAGUUUCAUCAUAAUACAUUAUGUUUACCUCCAUCAUAGUUGCUUUUUUCAUAGUUCUUGUUUUCAUGUUUUAUUUUUAAAAAGACAUAUAAAGAUUGCAUAUUUUAUUAUGACAUUUCCUAAUAAACCCCUUUGAUUUAAAAAUGUAUUUUUGAAAAUGUUUACAUUGAUGAUGAGUAAUAUUGCAUGUGUUUUCAGGUGAUCAGAUAAAAUAUAUUUUGGGAAAUUAACUGAACAAAUAAAAAGUUUUUGAUAUAACUUCAAUUAAUUGUACCACAUGCUAAUCCUGAAGAGAUGUGUAGAAUUUUGGAAAGGGUCUAAUUCAUACAUGCUUAAAGUAUAACCUACGUUAGAUAGUUUGUUGUCAAAGUCUGUUCUAGUAAAGUGAAGAUUCAAGUCAGUUGUUCAGUUACUUGAAGCAAAAUGAAAUCUUUCAUUUCAGUCAAAUCACUGCAGUCAUGAAAUACUGAACAAUUGCCUUAAGUCUUUGCUUGACUCACUGGGAUAGACUGAGGCUUUGGGUGUGUCUGUAUUAGCAUUUCAUUAGUACUUCACAUGCUUUUGAUGUACUCUUGAGAUUGCUUUAAAUUUUGUAUUGAAACAACAAUACAUUUUGCACUGUAGUAAUGGGAGCACUAACUCUUACAACAGUUAGUGAAUCGUUUUAAAGAAUCAGUUCAGUGUAGACAUUUUGAAAAGAUUGUUUCCUGUGCUUUACGAUAGCUUAGUGCAAUGUGCACUUCCGUUUUACUUGCCAUUUUCCUGCUCUGUUUUCUCUGUGACAUGAAGCAACAGAAACUGAGAUCAAAGUUAAGAUUAUAUCCUGUUUGUAGUAUCAGAUAUUUUUCUGUGUACAAUUAUAGGAUUGUAAUCUAAACUGGAAUUUUUAGGCAGUAAGUCACCACAAAAUGUUUUAGAUAAGACACAAUAAAAUUAUUAUAAAUAAAAGCUUAAUGUUUGUAAAAAAUCUCUUUUUUAGUAUUUCUUUUUUCACAUGAAAGAAGUGGUGGCUGCUAAAAAAAAAAAGCUACAGUGUUUAUUAAGGGUCUUUUUGAUUUAUGUAAAUAUUUGUAAAUUGGUCAGUGCCUGUAAAUUUAAAUAUAAAAAGUAAUCUUGAAAACAGUUUUAACUUUUUCAAAAGAACUAUGUCCAACAUUUUUUAGACCUGCUGUAGUAGUUUUGUACCUCUAACGUAUUUUUUUUUUGCAGACCAAAUGCUAAAACUUUUGCUUUUCUUUGACUUGUAAAAGGUGCACAUUUUCAUUUUCUUCCUUAAGUUCAAAUUUUUGUAUGAUGUCAAAUGCAAUAAAAUUUAUAUAUGGACA